UACGUAGGGGCAAGCGUUGUCCGGAUUAUUGGGCGUAAAGAGCGUGUAGGCGGCCGUACAGGUCAGCUGUGAAAACUCGAGGCUCAACCUCGAGACGUCGGUUGAAACCGUACGGCUAGAGUCCGGAAGAGGAGAGUGGAAUUCCCGGUGUAGCGGUGAAAUGCGCAGAUAUCGGGAAGAACACCCGUGGCGAAGGCGGCUCUCUGGGACGGUACUGACGCUGAGGCGCGAAAGCGUGGGGGAGCGAACAGG
RNAcentral lists this ribosomal RNA (252 nucleotides) under uncultured bacterium. Its description in RNAcentral is "partial 16S ribosomal RNA". It matches the Rfam family "Bacterial small subunit ribosomal RNA", at positions 524 to 776 of the family's 1533-position model. The record is from RNAcentral.